This 440-nucleotide ribosomal RNA is filed under the name uncultured bacterium. RNAcentral's name for it is "partial 16S ribosomal RNA". It matches the Rfam family "Bacterial small subunit ribosomal RNA", at positions 338 to 795 of the family's 1533-position model. The record is from RNAcentral.
CCUACGGGUGGCAGCAGUCGGGAAUUUUGGGCAAUGGGGGCAACCCUGACCCAGCAACGCCGCGUGAGCGAUGAAGGCCUUCGGGUCGUAAAGCUCUGUCGGGAGGGAAGAAGGCUCUCGGGGUGAAUAAUCCCGGGGGAUUGACGGUACCUCCAAAGGAAGCGCCGGCUAACUCCGUGCCAGCAGCCGCGGUAAUACGGAGGGCGCAAGCGUUGUUCGGAAGCUUGGUGCGUAAAGUGCGAAAGGGCGGGGCCUAACCCCGGAACGGCACUCGAAACUGCCUCGCUAGAGUCUCGGAGAGGGUGGUGGAAUUCCCGGUGUAGUGGUGAAAUACGUAGAUAUCGGGAGGAACACCAGCGGCGAAGGCGGCCACCUGGACGAUGACUGACGCUGAGACGCGAAAGCGUGGGGAGCAAACAGGAUUAGAUACCCUAGUAGUC